This 68-nucleotide transfer RNA is filed under the name Orthetrum sabina. Its description in RNAcentral is "tRNA-Gln". The record is from RNAcentral. Lineage: Eukaryota; Metazoa; Arthropoda; Insecta; Odonata; Libellulidae.
UAUACUUUAGUGUAUGAUGCACAGAAACUUUUGAUGUUUUUAGAGUAGUUUAAUUCUACAAUGUAUAA